RNAcentral lists this long non-coding RNA (4754 nucleotides) under Eucalyptus grandis. RNAcentral describes it as "long non-coding RNA (EGRA_LNC003756)". The record is from RNAcentral. Lineage: Eukaryota; Viridiplantae; Streptophyta; Magnoliopsida; Myrtales; Myrtaceae.
GCAAGAAGCUUCGCACCCCUGAAGUCGCACUUGAUGUAGCUAUAUAGGUUGGGCAGCAAGUACACGUUGUGGGGUGCAUCAAACUUGAACACUACCCAAGAAAAAAAAAAUAGUUAAGCAUAGGCAAUUUUGUUUGAUUGUUCAUAAUGAUAUUGGCAUCGAUUCUUGAAGAAAGCAACCUUAAAAGGGUGCUUGAUUUGGUCCGCAAUCCGCAUCACUAGACGUAUUCGAGCUUUCAACAAUCAAUUCCACACUAAAAAAACAAAUGUAACUUUCCCUCCUAAAUCCUAUGCCUAUUAUAUUAUCUCUCACUCAAAGUAACCUUGGUAGUCACCCUCCCAGUCACGUUGUGGAUAUGUGAAGGAGGUGGUGACAUGUAUAUUCAUCAUAUUUUAUGCAAAAUAAAAAUUCAAAUAGGAUAAAAGAAGAAAAUUAAUAUGGCUCUCUAAAUAGAUAAUUGGUAUAUACUAGAACCAUUAGUGACUACUUGUCAAGGCUUUAUUUGAAUAAGGAUAGCAAGAGUGCCAUAACUUUCAUAUGAUGCUCAUUUGAAUGUCAUAACUUUUUUUUUCGCUCACUUAAGUGUUACUUCUAAGUUAAAUUCGAUCAUUUGAGUGACACCCCCGGCAAAUUGUCAAAUGUGGAUUUUUUGUAAUUUAAAAAAAAAAUGAUUUUCUUGUUAUUUUUGUAAUUUUAAAAAAAAUUGAUUUUCUUUUUUUAUUUUAAUUUUUAGUUUUUAUAUUUUGUCUUUUCUUUUUUUCUUUUUCUUUUUUAUGUGCAACAGCCGUAAAGGCCUCACCCUCAAACCAGUAGGGCCACGAAGGCCUUCAGCUAGGCCAUUGCUAGCUACUAGCAAGGGGAUGAAGCCGUGAUAGACUAGCCUAGGUCCAUCGCGCCCUCACAAGUUGCCAGCCAGGACAUGGUGGCUUCGCCAACCACAAGUGAGGGCACAAAGGGCCUCACUAGAUCUAGGCAAGCCGGCGAGGCCAUGAGCGCCCAUCACAACCUCAACAACCACAAGCGGGGCUAUGAAGCAGAUUUUCCAAUGAGCAACUUGUCGAUGGCACUUAAGUGAUUGAUUUUUCAAAUUUAUGACACUUAAGUGAGCAAAAAAAUUUCAAAAAUUAUCCAUUUUGAUACUAGCAAUACCACGUAGGACUAUCGGGUCUACACUGGAUUUUCCAAUGAUGGUACUUAUGUGAUUGGUUUUUCAAAUUUACAACACUUCGAGAAAAAAAAAUGGUUUUGGCACUCAAGUGAGUUCCGCACAAAAAUUAUAAUACUCAAGUGAGCGUCGUAUAAAAGUUAUAGCACUCUUGAUAUACUCGUCCCUGUCUUUUCCUGAAUGAUGACUAAUUUUUAGGUAAAACUUUCUCAAUUAUGCAAACUUCAGCAGCAUCGGAGGAAGUAAACUCCAUAGCCUAUAACUAAAAGUUCGUUGGUUGCACUCACCAAGUUUAUCGUUGAUGUAGAAGGGACUGUUCUUAAGAGUCCAGUCCGUGUAGUUGUAGCCGAAACGCCAGUUCUCAGAUCCACCAACAACAAUAGUUCUGGCCUCGGUCAUCGCCAUGGUCGUGGCUAUCACCAGCAACGCAAUUCCUGCAUACCUCAAUCCUGCCAUUUCGCUAAUAUAUUCUCAAAUUAUCUGUCUGGUGAACUGAAAAGCAAUGAAGUUAAAUUGUUUUGGCAGUUGAAGUGAGUUCCAUGGUUCAUCAUGGGGGUUUAUAUACCCAAUUUCUGGCAAGAACAGUCGGAGCUGAAUUUUCUCGACUUGGUUGGCCAUCAAAGAAAUGAUUGGAUUCAAGAAUGUAGAGAAGACAUUUUUUUUUCCAAGAUUUUGAAUCAGUAAAUUCAGAAAAUAUAUAUAUAUAUAUAUAUAUAUAUAUAUAUAUAUCCUUCUAGAUUACGACUUUUGGGUCCUGAAUUCUGUUCUCAUUGGCCACUUACGUCUGAUCCAUCCCACCCUCAUUCUGCUGUCAUUUCGUUGAAGAAUGAACUGGCGCUAAGGAAAAUGGGCAGCAAUUGAAUUUGGUGGUCUGACUGAAUCCAUUGGUCUUCUUCGUUUUGGCACUGAUCCGCUUGAAGGAAAAGAGGGAAAGGUAAUGAUUGUGAAGCCACUGAAGUCCAUCUCCACGAGGGAAAUUUGGGUAGGCGUAGACGUUUUCUUGUGUCCCUCUACAGAUGGAGCAUCAUAUGGUCAACCCGCCGCACUCUGCUUUUCUCCUAGUCGGAAAAAUUUAAGUCUUCCUUGGCUAGCUUGAAUCCUCUAAAGAGGAGUGACAUUUCCCAUGGUUGGAUUUUUAUUACAUUCGGAGAAUUAUUUCAACGAGCUGCUGACGAUCAGAUGAUGCCACUUGUUAAGGUGACUCGGGAAUUUCUAAUUUCUGCACUGAGUGAAGAGCUUUUCUAUACAGACUUUGUUGAUCGUAAUUCCCCAGUCCGCAUAGCCUAGGCUGGGUUUUCGGGCCUGAUUCUAUUUCAUAAUUCGGGCGGGACCGGGCUUAUUCAGGUUUUAUUGCCUGUAAUUCAAAAUGGCCCGACCUAGUCUGAACUGAAGUUUGCUUACAUAUUGAAAUAUUUCGGGCAUUUUGUGUUGAAUAAAAGUCGAAUUUGUGUGAGUAAACAAUAAAAGGUAAAGUCUUCCCAGACAAAAAAUAAUAAUUUUGAUGGUACUCGUUCUCAAUCCACCACCACAAAUGAGGAUGACAAUUCUUCCUUUGUAUAAAUCAACAGGAUGAACAUCUUAAAUCUUUUUUGAAAAAAAUAAACUGAAUUUCAAUAGCACGUCCUUAAGUUCGCGAGCGGUAAGCACGUGCCUAUUAGCUCCAUAGAAGUUGUUCGACUACAUAUUUGUCUUUAAACUGUCUAUGAGUUUGUGUCGUCCGGAAUCAUCCAAUGCCUAGUAAUGAAGUCCAGAAAAUGGUAUAAACUGAACAUCGGUUUCUCAUAUUUUCUGUUGUACAUUUGGAGAUGAAAGAUGAAUUUUGGCAGCUUUAACCUCAUCUUUCGGGGCCUAUGCUCGAUUUAGAUUAACGGGUUGCCUUUCUCUUGUACUUUCGGAGAAACAUAUAGGAGCGUCGUGAAGCUUUUAUCAUGCAACAUUAUCAUACUAAAGAGUACUAGAUACCGGGGAUGAACAUUGGGCUCUGGACAAGAGUUGCAGCAAUGGCAUGAAGAAUUACGUCCCUGAUAAUUGUGGACGAAGAUGGUUGAUUCAUGAGUUCAUACCUCAGAAAUACCGCAAGUAACGUGAGCAAUGCGGCAGCAUUGCAAUAGUAAACGGGUUACUUGGCGGCUUUCGUCUCGUCUAACAAGAACUUACCUGAAUCAUCUUCCACCUCUUAGUUAAGGUUAGACUAUGGUAGUGAUUCUUGUGCUUAACUUUCCAUGCACAAGUUCUUCACCUCCGGCUUCAAUAGUAAUCACUGGAGGUAUGAUUUCUUAUUGAACUACGAAGAUUUACUAUCUUAAAUGUUAAAUCUGUAUUCGUUUAACCUGUUUAGGUUGUCUUUGUACAAUAAUAGUAUAGAGGAAACAGAAUCUAGGUGCACACUGCCAACUAAUAACUCUAUAGUUAUUGGAGAAGAAAUUUUCGACAUGUGAUCAUCAUUGACGAAAAUACGAGAUCCAUCGAUUGACCGCUAAAUAUUUUGCUAGAAAGAUUUGUUCUUGUGGAAUGAGCAUGUACUUAACCUGUUAGUGCUCUAUUGAUCCUCCUUGUUUUUUGAAUUUUGCUUUGUUUUGUAGUAUUCUAGAUUUUGCUCUAUUUUGAUUUGUUUACUAUGAAGUCUAUGUACUUAUCAUGUAUCAUUUUGAGCAAUAAAUAUAAUUUUCUUUCGAAAAAAAAAAUAUUUGAUUGUGUCAAAAGUCAAAGGUCCGUAUCUUCAAAUCAUGUCCAUAUUUAUUGCAAGUAUCACGAAUUCAAAUAUUAUAAGAAAACAUUAUAUCACCCAGAUUAUAAUAUGACAUAUAGUUACGCUCGUUGGAAGAUAGAGCUCUAAAGUUACAUUGACUGCUACUAACCCCUAAAAUCAUAUCCAAUGUAUCUACUUAGGUCAUGAAGACAUUAUUACAUAAAAUAAAAUAAAGAAAAUGAAGAGAACUCUCUUCAAUCCACAAACACAACUUGCUUCCAAUAACAAAGGAACUUCAUUUCGGAGGAACCUUUUUAUUUACUCCAACUCCUAGGUUCCUCCAGAUAAGUAGCUCUUUAUUCAAAGCCCAUAAAAGCACAAAGCACGAUCAGUUUCAUCACCCAGUUCUAAUUCCAUGAUCAAUCGCGGUCGAUCACUGCCAACGCGGCAGCGGCAUGGCGAAAAACUUCAUCAAGCCGUUGGAGCAGUCUUUGUCGUUUGAAGAAGCAAAGUAGUAGAGCCUGUAUUGGUUCAGCACGACUUCGAAGCCGUUUCCAGCACCGUUUGACGGGCCAGCGAGCAACGUUGCACCCUUGAAGUCACACUUGAGGUAACUGAAGAGGUUGGGCAGCAAGUACACGUUGUGGGGCGGACCAUACUUGAACACUAACAAAGAAUUAUUCGGGACUUUAGUGCUGUGAACUUAACUCAAUCAAAUCAUAACAAUCAUAUCCAAUAUAACUCCAUCAAGUUCAAACAAAUGAACCGAUCAUAUAUCUUGUGACAACAAAAAUAACAAGCAUCUCCCACGAGCCAAUUAUGGGAUCUAGCUAGUGCCAGUGCGGUUGCUUGUUUGAAACAUGACAGGCUUGCUCUAAUGAUAUAUGUCUACAAGAUGAG